RNAcentral lists this long non-coding RNA (1633 nucleotides) under Pan troglodytes (chimpanzee). RNAcentral describes it as "long non-coding RNA NONPTRT015957". The record is from RNAcentral. Lineage: Eukaryota; Metazoa; Chordata; Mammalia; Primates; Hominidae.
AAGAGGCGCCAGGGGCCGAUGCUGUGACCCCUGCACUCUCCCCUAGUUGGUGUACAUGGGUUUUGAUGCACUUGUGGCCGAAGCUGCGCUGAGAGUGUUCAGAGGCAACGUCCAGCUGGCCGCCCAGACCCUUGCUCACAACGGAGGAAGCCUGCCUCCCGAGCUGCCGCUGUCGCCAGAAGACUCUUUGUCCCCGCCAGCCACAUCCCCUUCUGACUCCGCAGGAACCUCUAGUGCCUCAACAGACGAAGACAUGGAGACAGAGGCCGUCAAUGAGAUACUGGAAGACAUUCCAGAGCAUGAGGAAGACUAUCUUGACUCAACUCUGGAAGACGAAGAAAUUAUUAUUGCAGAGUACCUAUCCUAUGUAGAAAACAGGAAGUCAGCAACAAAGAAAAACUAAAUAAUGAACAGAAAUAGCGCUAAUUUUCUGCUUAUAAAUGCUAUCAUUAUGAAAAGGCUAAUGCAGCUCUUUCUGUUCUUACCUUUUAUCUGAAUUGCAAGUCCUCUUUGGGUGUAGGAGGGGGUGGGCAGGGGACAAGUCCAGGAGGGGUCCCAGGGCCUUCAUGCGUGGUCUCGGGGAAGAAGCUUCCUCUGGCCUGGCGCAGGCCGUUCCAUCUGCCUCCCAGGUCUGCGUCCCUAACCCCUUCCCCAGCUUGGUGUUUUACCCCGAAACAGGAAGGAACAGGGGUCCUGUGGAACAGGGGUCCUGGGGAAGGUGUCCAGGGCAGGGUCCUGGGAAGGGUGUCCCGACCACUUCCUCUCCAGCUGUGGCUCCAUCUGCCCAGCUUGCCUACCUCCUGCACCCACUGCCCAUGACCUUCCUGCUUCCCACGCUGCCAUCUCUGCCAGGGUGCCCCAUGGGUUCCUGUGCCACCCUUUCCCCGCCCCUCAAAUCGUCCUUUAAGUAAGUCUUCCUUCCAAGUGCUGUGGGGCAUAACGAUGAGGCACUGGCCUUGGGGGCCACACCAGGUCGCAGCAAAUGCCUUCAGCCUGGGACGCCAGUGUUUUAUGCUCUUAGUUCAGUAAAAUACGCCCCCAAAAUUCAAGAUUGAGUGUCAGGCUUUAUAUAUAUUCAGCAUUCCUCAUUACAGAAAUCUUUUAUUGAAUGGGAAAGGUUUAAAUGCUAACCAAAGCAAUUUAUUUUUAAUUAAUAUUUUUAGACUGUGCUGUCAUACUGAACUCACUGCUAGCUAAGAGACCUAUCAGAGAUUUAGAUAUAUUUUCUCCAGGUUUUUUGUGGGGUUUUUUUUUGUUGUUGUUGUUCCAGCCAUGUGACAGAGGCUCUUUCUAAAAGUAUGUAGUUCGCUGUGUGUCGGCUCCAGCAGUAACCGUCCUCACUGCGCCACGCACUCCUCUGUAGAUGUGUGCCCAGUGGGAGUUCCUUCCAGCCCCAGGACCGCAGCAGCAGCCAGGUGCCGAGUGGAUUGAGUGCCAGGUGUAUCCAAGACUUUCCCUCCCUUCCAGAAGGCACUGGCUGAAGACAGGAUGGAUCAUGCGGAGCCGGCUGAAAUGCUCCAACUUUUUCAAAGUGUGGGUGGUCCAGUUUGGACUGAUGGGAAUCUUCUUGUCAUUCUUUUUAAACGGAUGAUACCGAUGGAAAUAAAAGGAUGUCUGUUUCCACUGAGUUUUG